UAUUUUUAUAUUUUAUAUAUAUAAAAACAUCCAGAAUAUAUAUGAUACUUUUAAGUUUGCUUAAAUGCUUGAAAAUAUAUACAAAUAAUCAAAUGUAAAUAUCUUAAAUAGUUAAAAUAUACUCAAAACUACAAAAAUACUUAAAUAAUUAUUAAUUUUCUAUCCAAAUAUUUAAACCAAACCUAUUUAAAUUGAUUAUCCAAAUCCGAACCAAAUCCUCAAAAAUCUUAAAUGAACACGAAAUUCCAAAAAGACCCGAAAACGAACCCGAACGCCCAUCCCUAAUCACUAUUAUAUAUAUCUUAUAUGUGUCAUCAUAGGUUACAAAAUAUUUGUUAUCAUAUAAUUAAUUGUAUUUUAUACGUACCAUCAAAUAAGUUUUUUUAUAAUUAAUAAUAUUGUAUAUGUACAAUCAUAUAAAUAAUCAAAUAAAUUAUAUUUUAAAAUUUAAUGUGAAAUAUAAAAAUCAUAAUUUAAGUUGGUGUAUGAAAUUGGGCUUUGUAUUGUAUUUUUCUUAUAUUAUUGAAAACAUUUUUAUAAUAGUUAUUGGAAAAUAUGUUUAUUUUUGAAUAUAUGUUUAUUUUUGAAUGAAUUUUUUAUAUAAAUCAAUUUUAAAUUAGUAUUUUGAUUUGAAUAUAUAUAUCAAGUAACAUAGACUCAUCACUUUUUAAUAAUAUAGAUGUAAUGGACUUCCAAUUUUUUAGUGGCAUAAACCCAUUAUUUUUUUUUCUAACUUAGUGCUAUCCAUAUUUCCAAACAGUGCUAUUUUUUAACUAUUAUCCAUAUUGCCAAACAAUCUCAAUGUGUACUUCAACUUUAAUAAUAUAGAUAAUAUCUAUUCCAAAUCACGUUUUACUUACAUAAAAUAUAUAUAUAUAUAUUGUUUACAACCCUUUAGAAAUAAAAUGAAUGUAUUUCAAAAUAAUUAAAAAUGUAUAUUCUGUUUUCUUCACGUUCAAAUCACAACGGUAUACAUAUGUUGUUAAGAUUUUUUAUUAAACCUAUCCCACUCAAAUAAAUAAAUAAAUAAAUAUUUAUAUAUAUCACUUGCCUUUUGCUUGGAAACUCACCAUUAUAUACAAAACAACCUAAACAUGUCUAAUCGGCUAUUUACAUAUAAAAUAUUUUAACCAUUUAUUCUAGAAACUUAUGUUAAUCGGCUAUUUCUAAUUUAUACUGUAUUACAUAUUCACUUACAAAUUAUCAUACAAAUUUGAUUUUUAAAUAUUUAAACGUAGCUUAAGUGCAUUAGAAUAAUAUUAUACCAAAUUGGAUUUAUAUUAGUGAAAUUAUAUGAACAAUACAAUAUUUUUUUACCAUUAUAAUAUAUUAUAUAUGUAGUUCUUAUUUGUUUUUUUAAUUUAUAUUCAUGUUGUUAUAUAUUUACAAAUGAUAACAACACUUUAUUUGAAUAUAGAUUUAAUGAAGCUCUAACAUAAUUAUAUAUAUAAAGUGUAUAUUUUUUGAGCAAAUAAAGUGUAUAUUUAUAUCACUAUAUAUGUAAAGUUAUAAAUAUUUCUAUAAUUUUUUUUCUUCAUUAUUAUAGAUAACUAUUUUUACAAUGUACACACACACACACACACACACAUAAGAAUGUGAUAAAUUAUAAUAUACACACAAUAAGAAUGUGAUGUAUAAACAUAUAUUAUAUUAAAACUGAAAUACAAAACAUUACUUACCUAAUUUUGAGUGAUUUCUAACAUCUUCUUCAUUCAUUUUAAAUUAAUUUUAACCACUCAUUUACUGUUUUCUAAAUAAUUUGAUAUCAUUUGUUACAUAUAUAUAAAAAAAGAACUUACCUAUUUUAAGUUUUUAUUACAUUUUUACAUUCCUUUUUACACUCUUUUAAAACUACUUUAUUAAUUAUAUUUACCAUAAUAAUUCGACGUCAUUUAUUUUACGUGUUAACAAAAAUAAUUUCACAUGUUUGAAUGAUAUUAUUUCAUUGUGACAAAAAUUCAAACCAGUUAACAAAUAUUUUUUUUUUCUCGUUACAUAAUAAUUUAGACAUGGGUAUUCGAGUACAAGUUUGGAUACAUAUCGGUUUUCUGGGUAUCGUGUUUUUUUUUUUAUAUUUUAAAAUUAAACUAUAUUCGGAUAUCAUAAAUGUUUCGGGCAUGAUUCGAGUGGAUUCUUCUGAAAUGUUUAGAAAUUUCUAAAUAACAUAUAUCUAUAUAUUUAGAAAUGUCAUUUCACAAUUUAUGAAACAGUAAAAACUAAUCUCCCGCGGUUGCGCGGAUCAAGAUCUAGUUUUCAAUUAUGUCCGGAGUCACAAAAUUAUAUAUACCCCCUUAAUCAAAUAAGGUGUGUGCCACAACACCACCAAUACUCAUGGCCCAUAUACGUUCACCCAUAAUGUGUGUCUAUUUAUUUUUAUGCAUGAUGCAUUGGAGUGAAGUGCUCAUAAUUGAGUAUAGUAGGCUUAGUGAUGUAGUAGUGAUCACGUUCAAAUUAAGAAUUUAUUACUCUAAGAGACACUUUUUAUCUUUAUAUUUACCUCAUUAGAUACAUGUUGAUGGCCACAUACAAGCCACACACUUUCUGUGUGUAUAAAGGCCAAUAUACCCUUCAGCUAUUUAGUUACUUCACGAACUCUUACUUCACAUGUGAACAAGACAAUAUGAUUUAGUUUUUAUUAAUUAAUUAAUUUAUUUAUUUGCUUUACUUUUUUGUUUUAAUUAAAAAAUAUAAAAACAUAAUCCUUAACCCUAAAACGUCUCUGUUUUUGUGUAUCAAAACUCCCACCGGAAUCAGCCUCUGUCUUAUCCAUGCCACAACCUUGCUUCUAUUGCACCUUCAACCAAUCGUGAUAACCACUACGAGCCUAGCAGAUUUCUUCCUUGUAUUUUCAUAACUGCGAUUGUGUCCAAGCCGUGGCAAUCUUCCACCACGAGAUCUAUCGUACAAGUCGCCUCCACGCCGUGCUCAGCUUGCCUCCACACCGUGCUUAGCUUUCCUCCUCGCCAUCCUCAGCUUACCUCCUCGUCAUCCUCAGCUCAUAGUGUCCAAGACGCCUCCUCGCCGUGUGCAAGCCGUCUCAAUCCUCAACCAUGAGAUCUAUCUUCAUCUUGUUCGUUAUCUCAGUCAAGUUGCGGUGGUUCAAGCUUGGGGCGCCAUGGACAAAAGCUCGCCGUGUCCAAUCGUCUUUUUUCUCGGGAUUGCGAUAGCGAAUAUCCCUAGAUUUCUAUCUGCGUCCACAUCUACAACUAAACCCUCACCUUGACCACAACCCCAUUGUCCAUCACUAAAAAUUAAAUUUUACCUUGUCCAAAUCCAUAAUUUCAGCAGUUAUCUUGUCCACAUACUACAUUCACAAGUACAAUGUUUACCGGUAUUUGUCUUUUGUCAAUGAACCUUACCUUGUCCACAUACACAAUUUCAACAGUAACCUCGUCCACAUACUAUAUUCACAUCCACAAACAAAUAGCUUUUUCACCUUCCAAAACCUACAUCGAAAGCUACAUUAAUGCACGUCACAAUCGUGCAUUAGACUAUCUACAAUCAUAAAAUUAUUCAACACUCUCUUUUUCUCUUUUUAACACUUCACACCAUCUUGUCUCUCUUCCACAUACUUAUUCAACAACCACUUCAUUUUUAACAUCUACAAUAGUAUUGUUUAAUAAAAUUCAACACCAUACCCCACUAUUUCCAAUUCAUCUUUCUUUAUAUAUUUUAUAAUUUAAUAACUAUUUAUUAAGUACACAUGAUAUAACAUACAAAACAACAAAUAAAAACACACAACUUAUUUGGUACUAUAAACACAAAUAAAAACAUACAACUUAUUUGGUACAAUAAGAACAAUCACACACGACAACUUUAAGUUUUUUAAUCACGAAACAUUUCGAAUUUCGCCCAUAUGUGUUUGACUAGAUCUGUUUGCAGUUCGUGAUGUACAUUUGAAUCACGUAAUUCAGAUCUAGCUCAGACAUGAUUUGCAAAUACGGGUAACACCUCUGUCGAAAAUGGAUGUGGUGUGCUUGUUGAACCACUUGCCUCAGAUUGAUCAUAAUCGGUCCAGUGUUGAGCAUAUGUAUCUCGUUCAUCCUCAACAAUCAUUUUAUACAAUAUGAUACAUGACCGCAUGAUGAUAGCCAAAUCGGAUAUGUCCCACAUGCGAGCUAGUUCACGAAUGAUUUUGAAUCGAGCCUGUAACACUCCAAAUGCACGUUCGAUAUCCUUCCGGCAUCCUUCUUUAUGUUUUGCAAAUAACUUGUCUGGUUCACUCUGAGAAAGUCGGAUUGAUUUGACGAAAGUUGGAUAAGAAGGAUAGAUACCAUCAGCUAGAAAGUAUGCCAUGUCAUACGGAUGUUGGUUGACGAAAAAGUUCACUCUCGGAGUAUUUCCUUGUUCAACAUCAUCAAAUACCGGCGAACGAUCUAGAACGUUUAUAUCGUUUAGUGUACUCGGACAUCC
Brassica rapa (field mustard) is the source of this 4413-nucleotide long non-coding RNA. RefSeq lists it as uncharacterized. The record is from RefSeq and is a predicted model, not a curated record. NCBI's taxonomy places the organism in Eukaryota, Viridiplantae, Streptophyta, Magnoliopsida, Brassicales, Brassicaceae.